UGGGGAAUAUUGCACAAUGGGGGAAACCCUGAUGCAGCGACGCCGCGUGAGCGAAGAAGGUUUUCGAAUCGUAAAGCUCUGUCCUAUGAGAAGAUAAUGACGGUAUCAUAGGAGGAAGCCCCGGCUAAAUACGUGCCAGCAGCCGCGGUAAUACGUAUGGGGCGAGCGUUGUCCGGAAUUAUUGGGCGUAAAGGGUACGUAGGCGGUCUAUUAAGUCAGGUGUGAAAGCGUGAGGCUUAACCUCAUUAAGCACUUGAAACUGAUAGACUUGAGUGAAGGAGAGGAAAGUGGAAUUCCUAGUGUAGCGGUGAAAUGCUUAGAUAUUAGGAGGAACACCGGUGGCGAAAGCGGCUUUUUGGCCUGCAACUGACACUGAGGCGCGAAAGCGUGGGGAGCAAACAGG
RNAcentral lists this ribosomal RNA (403 nucleotides) under Verrucomicrobiota bacterium. Its description in RNAcentral is "Verrucomicrobia bacterium partial 16S ribosomal RNA". It matches the Rfam family "Bacterial small subunit ribosomal RNA", at positions 355 to 776 of the family's 1533-position model. The record is from RNAcentral. Lineage: Bacteria; Pseudomonadati; Verrucomicrobiota.